RNAcentral lists this ribosomal RNA (460 nucleotides) under uncultured bacterium. Its description in RNAcentral is "partial 16S ribosomal RNA". It matches the Rfam family "Bacterial small subunit ribosomal RNA", at positions 338 to 795 of the family's 1533-position model. The record is from RNAcentral.
CCUACGGGUGGCAGCAGUGAGGAAUAUUGGUCAAUGGACGAGAGUCUGAACCAGCCAAGUAGCGUGAAGGAUGACUGCCCUAUGGGUUGUAAACUUCUUUUAUAAAGGAAUAAAACGAGGCACGUGUGCCUUUUUGCAUGUACUUUAUGAAUAAGGAUCGGCCUACUCCGUGCCCGCCGCCGCGGUAAUACGGUGGAUCCGAGCGUUAUCCGGAUUUGUUGGGUUUAAAGGGAGCGUAAAUGGGUUGUUAAGUCAGUUGUGAAAGUUUGCGGCUCAAACGUAAAAUUGCAAUUGAUACUGGCAGUCUUGAGUACAGUUGAGGUAUGCGGAAUUCGUGGUGUAGCGGUGAAAUGCUUAGAUAUCACGAAGAACCCCGAUUGCGAAGGCAGCUUACUAACCUGUGACUGACAUUGAUGCUCGAAAGUGUGGGUAUCAAACAGGAUUAGAUACCCCAGUAGUC